UCCCCGUUCGUCUAAUGGCAGGACAGCGGCCUUUGGAGCCGUGAAUCGUGGUUCGAGUCCACGGCGGGGAA
RNAcentral lists this transfer RNA (71 nucleotides) under Planctomycetota bacterium. RNAcentral describes it as "Planctomycetes bacterium (freshwater metagenome) tRNA-Gln". It matches the Rfam family "tRNA". From Rfam's summary of the family: Transfer RNA (tRNA) molecules are approximately 80 nucleotides in length. Their secondary structure includes four short double-helical elements and three loops (D, anti-codon, and T loops). The record is from RNAcentral. Lineage: Bacteria; Pseudomonadati; Planctomycetota.